UUAUCAAAAUACAUUCAUCCCAGUUCUCAAAUCGCUGGUUUGGGUGCCUACAUCUCUCCCCACACUAAUUUCUGCAGGUCAGACGGUGACCCUGAUCGGAACAAAACCGGGAGGCAGAUACUCACUCCGGAGCACCCCCACCCCCCCGGGUGUCACAAGCCAUAUCGCUGCAAAUGCCUCACACACCUUGGAGCGCAGCUUGUGGAACUGAUGAGAGACUAUCAUCUAUCUAUCUAUCGGAGAGACUCUGAACCAGAAUCUUGUCAAGCCUUGGUGCUGCUCCCAACAAACUGAGAAUAACUGGACAUCAGCACAACUAGGUAGGUAGCCUCUCAUAGAGCCUGUAGUUCCACAGCUACAGGUGGUACCAUCUGCUUAAUUUCCACUGUUUUCAAGACAGCUGUUCUGGCAAUAUGUUUUGCUCUGCGGAAAUGAGGUGAAAGAAACAAAGAAAAGCAAAAGAUGGGGGCUCUUUCCGUGGGUUUAUUUUCCUCCAGUUUCUUUAGAAAACAAAUCGAAUGUGACUGGUCCACAGAAGGCGUUCUACAAGCAGAAAGCCUGUGGGGUUAGAGGAUGUGAAUACUUUAAAGACCUUCUAUGAAGAUUGUUUAAGGAUUGCAUGGAUGGGUGGGUGAAUAAAUGAAAUAAAGAUGGCA
Molecule: long non-coding RNA, 656 nt
Filed under: Vulpes vulpes (red fox)
Lineage: Eukaryota; Metazoa; Chordata; Mammalia; Carnivora; Canidae
Description: lncRNA (ENSVVUG00000012676.1)
Source: RNAcentral